GGCCAAAACGGAUGACGCAGUUUGAGGAACCUGUUGAUUAUAGCAGGAGGGAACAUGUCAGCACAACGGAUCCAGUCACGCAACUCUCGCUCACUAUCCUCCAUUGUGAACUGACUCUAGAGUAAUCAUGCCCUGCUGCUGUCUAUUGCUUAAGGCCAUGUAACAAUGCUCUGCAAGCCAGACUGCAUUCUAGGUGUCAUACAGCGUGAUAAUUGAAUCAUUUUACGGGGCUGACAAUCUCAGUCAGUAGUCAUGUGUGUGAAUGCUCUGAUUCUGCUCAGAUUAUCAUUCACUUAGACAUUUCCUUUAGAGCAUGUUGUAGUUUGUUCCCUUUGUUGGAAAAAUAAAGUGACAAUCCAAAAUCAAUGUGUCAAGUCUGCAUUCCAAAGGCAUUACAUGCCCAAGUCCUCCUGCACCCACUCUUCUCUCCGAGAACACCCUGUACUUUUAGGGUGGAGACCCCCCCUCCAAGCAGCUCCUGAAUAAUACUAGCCUGGUGUGAAAGACCCAUUGCACAUGAGACUGACUCUCCCUGGAGGCUGUGCUGUGUGCAUGCCACCCCAAUUACAGUAUUGUGUGUGCCUGUUCAGUGAGGUCUUCAGCUGAGGCUUCUCACGGUACAGAGGGCGGAAAGGGAAAAAAGAAGGAUUGAGUCGGGAGAAGAUUGUAUCAAAAUAAGAGAACCCCAAAGCUGCCUGUAAGGGACUAAGACUUAAGCAAUAAACAUUUUUCACCACGUCUAUUCACCACACAAGAUUUAUUAAUAUGCGCUGUGCCUUAAUAUCACAACAUUCUUCUACAUCUGUAAAUACAAACAUGUCUUAUUUUAUAGAGAGCUUAAGUGAUACCACAUACUUUACUCACACACGGAUCUGUGCAAAGAAGAUGUUCUAAAAACACUUGAUGAGUACGAUUGGUGCAAUAUUCUGUAAACACUUUAAAACCGCUGCUGGAAUACAAGCCAAAUGCAACUGUGAAAAGCAUUCUGCAAGGACUUGAGGAAAGGGCAACUCUAAACAGUCAGGAUGAACAGCACCCUUUCCUUUAUACCCUGCAUUAGGGAUUUUAAAGGAUCAUGUUCCCAUAGAUUACUUUUAGAUUUUGUAGGUGUCAUGAAGCCUGAAUACUGCCAUAUAUCUACGUUUCUAUCUGUACUACACAUUAUACAGUUACAUUACAGGUAAUUUAAGCUGACGCUUUUAUCCAAAGCGACUUACAUUGUAUUUUUACGCAUGGCUUUUACAUUUUUGCCCGGGGAGCAAUUAGGGGUUAGGUGUCUUGCUCAGGGACACUUCGACAUGGGACAUGGAGCAGCCGGGGCUCGAACCACUCUCUACCCCUGCGCUACGUUGACACUAAUUACAGCCUUCUUUUAAUUAACAGGAGUGACAGUGGUUAAUUUUGAGUAAACUGUUGAGUGUGUGAAACACUGAUUAGCACUACUGUAGUCAAAUCCAGAUGCAUACAGAUGAUAAGAUGCAAAAGCUUGGUCAUCCCAACAGCAGUCACUGGCAGGUUGAGGAGGCAGAUGAUCCAAGUACUGGUACGCCGUCUUGCUGUUCCAUGAAGCCAUUUAGUGCUGCUGUUGAUGACACGGUCUCCCUGGCGUUUCCAUCUCUAAACUCAGAAGGACAAGCAGAGUGCCUUACGUACAUCUCACGUCUGGCCUCGCAAUAAUCACGUGAUUUCAUUUUUCUUGAGAUCAAGACGUAAUUUUUUGUUAUCUCGAGACAAGAAAGCUUGCUUUCCUGUGUCAAGUUAAGUUAUGCAAAUUCAGAAAGAAAAGGCAUGUCUAAAGAUAAUUUGAUGAUUUCUCCCAACGAGAUGAAUUGCUUUCUGGAGAUAAUUAUGGAGAACCCAUAAAGUAGUUAAUUUGAUCACACAAGCCCAGAGAGGCAACACUGCCAGCAGUUUAAAUAUUUUUAAUUAGUUGUUAUCUUGAGAUAACAAAUCUUAUUUUCACAUGAUACCGAGUUUCAUGGAUUCUGGAAAAAACAGAAGGCAGAUUUGUCCUUCCAAGAUUUUCUUGGAAGGACAAAACAAUUAUUGGGUCCUAAAAAUGAGUUUUUUUUAUCACACAGUUCAGUUGUAAUUAACGCUUUAACUUAUCUAUUUCCGGCCAGGCUAUUCUCCUCAAUGUUAACGGAUCCAAAAUAUAUCUCUAACAGAAAGACACAUUUCAGAAGUAAUGAUAGGAAUUUGCAUUUUGCUAAGCUGGUUUCCUCAUAAUAAAUAUUAACUUGUGAGCUUGAGAUUAUGGAACAGACAGUAGUGCAAGCACAACCUUUCUCCUUCUCUGUAGGAGAUCACCUGGUGGAUGUAUUUUUUUGUAAUUAUUAGUUAUACAUGCUGUGUCACCAAAGCUUUAAAAGGUGAUUUUAUUUGUGUAGGACGUGAUGUAUGUUGGACCUUUUCAUCUGUUUCUUUCUCUGUUCUAAACUAAUUUUAUGAUCUUGUUUGAUUCUGCUAACCUAGUGUACAGAAUAAAGUUUUACUCACUACAACAAUGCUUUUUGUUUUUUUCUUUUUUAAAUAGAAUGGGACUCUAUUUUAGUUAUGGAGGCCACCAUGUUUCAUAUGUUCAAAAACACAAGUGCGUGAUGAGCCAUCCCGGGGAUACAGAGUCGACCAAAGCUUUGUCAAAAAAAUCAUUUCCAAGAUGUGUGCAGUGAGAAAGAAGGUUUGUGUGAGUCAGGGUUUACAGAGAAUGGUCCCAAAAAGGAAAUAUCCAGUUAGCGUAUGAGUGAGUUGUAUGGACAGAAAUGCCUUGCUGGUGUUAGAG
Gasterosteus aculeatus aculeatus (three-spined stickleback) is the source of this 2782-nucleotide long non-coding RNA. NCBI's taxonomy places the organism in Eukaryota, Metazoa, Chordata, Actinopteri, Perciformes, Gasterosteidae. The record is from Ensembl.